This 433-nucleotide ribosomal RNA is filed under the name uncultured bacterium. RNAcentral describes it as "partial 16S ribosomal RNA". It matches the Rfam family "Bacterial small subunit ribosomal RNA", at positions 29 to 507 of the family's 1533-position model. The record is from RNAcentral.
AACGAACGCUGGCGGCAUGCCUAACACAUGCAAGUCGAACGAGACCUUCGUGUCUAUUGUCGCACGGGUUCGUAACGCCUUGGAUCCUUCCCUUAGUUUCGGUAUAACUCCCCUUAUUGUCUCCUAAUACCGGUUAUUCUCUUCUGACCAAAGUUUUAUCGCCUUUGGAUGGUCCCGCGUUGGAUUCGCUAGUUGGUAGGGUAAAAGCCUACCAAGGCUACGAUCCAUAGCUGGUCUGAGAGGAUGAUCAGCCACACUGGGACUGAGACACGGCCCAGACUAGUACGGGAGGCAGGAGUGGGGAAUAUUGGAAAAUGGGGGAAAGGCUGAUCAAGCAAUGACGCGUGAGUGAUGAAGGCGUUAGGGAUGUAAAGCUCUUUUAGAAGGGAAGAUAAUGACAGUACCGGGAGAAUAAGCACCGGCUAACUACGUG